RNAcentral lists this ribosomal RNA (727 nucleotides) under uncultured Acinetobacter sp. RNAcentral describes it as "bacterial SSU rRNA". It matches the Rfam family "Bacterial small subunit ribosomal RNA", at positions 8 to 729 of the family's 1533-position model. Lineage: Bacteria; Pseudomonadati; Pseudomonadota; Gammaproteobacteria; Moraxellales; Moraxellaceae. The record is from RNAcentral.
AGAGUUUGAUCAUGGCUCAGAUUGAACGCUGGCGGCAGGCUUAACACAUGCAAGUCGAGCGGGGUGAUGUAGCUUGCUACAUUACCUAGCGGCGGACGGGUGAGUAAUGCUUAGGAAUCUGCCUAUUAGUGGGGGACAACAUUCCGAAAGGAAUGCUAAUACCGCAUACGUCCUACGGGAGAAAGCAGGGGACCUUCGGGCCUUGCGCUAAUAGAUGAGCCUAAGUCAGAUUAGCUAGUUGGUGGGGUAAGGGCCUACCAAGGCGACGAUCUGUAGCGGGUCUGAGAGGAUGAUCCGCCACACUGGGACUGAGACACGGCCCAGACUCCUACGGGAGGCAGCAGUGGGGAAUAUCGGACAAUGGGCGAAAGCCUGAUCCAGCCAUGCCGCGUGUGUGAAGAAGGCCUUUUGGUUGUAAAGCACUUUAAGCGAGGAGGAGGCUACUUAGAUUAAUACUCUAGGAUAGUGGACGUUACUCGCAGAAUAAGCACCGGCUAACUCUGUGCCAGCAGCCGCGGUAAUACAGAGGGUGCGAGCGUUAAUCGGAUUUACUGGGCGUAAAGCGUGCGUAGGCGGCUUCUUAAGUCGGAUGUGAAAUCCCUGAGCUUAACUUAGGAAUUGCAUUCGAUACUGGGAAGCUAGAGUAUGGGAGAGGAUGGCAGAAUUCCAGGUGUAGCGGUGAAAUGCGUAGAGAUCUGGAGGAAUACCGAUGGCGAAGGCAGCCAUC